RNAcentral lists this ribosomal RNA (454 nucleotides) under uncultured bacterium. Its description in RNAcentral is "partial 16S ribosomal RNA". It matches the Rfam family "Bacterial small subunit ribosomal RNA", at positions 28 to 507 of the family's 1533-position model. The record is from RNAcentral.
GAUGAACGCUGACAGAAUGCUUAACACAUGCAAGUCAACUUGAACUUCGGUUUGGGUGGCGGACGGGUGAGUAACGCGUAAAGAACUUGCCUCACAGCUAGGGACAACAUUUGGAAACGAAUGCUAAUACCUGAUAUUAUGAUUUUAGGGCAUCCUAGAAUUAUGAAAGCUAUAUGCGCUGUGAGAGAGCUUUGCGUCCCAUUAGCUGGUUGGAGAGGUAACGGCUCACAAAGGCGAUGAUGGGUAGCCGGCCUGAGAGGGUGAACGGCCACAAGGGGACUGGGACACGGCCAUUACUCCUACGGGAGCAAGCGGUGGGGAAUAUUGGACAAUGGACCAAGAGUCUGAUCCAGCAAUUCUGUGUGCACGAUGAAGUUUUUCGGAAUGUAAAGUGCUUUCAGUUGGGAAGAAAAAAAUGACGGUACCAACAGAAGAAGUGACGGCUAACUACGUG